Molecule: ribosomal RNA, 517 nt
Filed under: uncultured bacterium
Lineage: Bacteria
Description: bacterial SSU rRNA
Rfam family: Bacterial small subunit ribosomal RNA
Source: RNAcentral
GACGAACGCUGGCGGCGUGCCUAAUACAUGCAAGUCGAGCGGACAGAUAAGGAGCUUGCUCCUUUGAAGUCAGCGGCGGACGGGUGAGUAACACGUGGGCAACCUGCCUAUAAGACUGGGAUAACUCCGGGAAACCGGGGCUAAUACCGGAUAGAUUCUUUUCUCUCAUGAGGAAAGAAGGAAAGAUGGUUUCGGCUAUCACUUAUAGAUGGGCCCGCGGCGCAUUAGCUAGUUGGUAAGGUAACGGCUUACCAAGGCGACGAUGCGUAGCCGACCUGAGAGGGUGAUCGGCCACACUGGGACUGAGACACGGCCCAGACUCCUACGGGAGGCAGCAGUAGGGAAUCUUCCGCAAUGGACGAAAGUCUGACGGAGCAACGCCGCGUGAACGAAGAAGGCCUUCGGGUCGUAAAGUUCUGUUGUUAGGGAAGAAUAAGUACGAUAGUAACUGAUCGCACCUUGACGGUACCUAACCAGAAAGCCACGGCUAACUACGUGCCAGCCGCCGCCGUAAAAC